UGUGUAGGCGGUUUUCUAAGUCUGGUGUGAAAUUUCCCGGCUCAACUGGGAGGGUGCGCCGAAAACUGGAAGGCUAGAGUACUGGAUGGGUAAGUGGAAUUCCUGGUGUAGCGGUGAAAUGCGUAGAUAUCAGGAGGAACACCUGUGGUGUAGACGGCUUACUGGACAGUAACUGACGCUGAGACACGAAAGCGUGGGUAGCAAACAGGAUUAGAUACCCUGGUAGUCCACGCCCUAAACGAUGCAUAUUU
RNAcentral lists this ribosomal RNA (251 nucleotides) under uncultured bacterium. Its description in RNAcentral is "partial 16S ribosomal RNA". It matches the Rfam family "Bacterial small subunit ribosomal RNA", at positions 568 to 818 of the family's 1533-position model. The record is from RNAcentral.